Molecule: long non-coding RNA, 851 nt
Filed under: Lactuca sativa (garden lettuce)
Lineage: Eukaryota; Viridiplantae; Streptophyta; Magnoliopsida; Asterales; Asteraceae
Description: long non-coding RNA (LSAT_LNC009158)
Source: RNAcentral
CUGUUCUCAACCACCAUCCAUGUCUAAAUUAAUUUCAUCUUGAUAAGAAAAUAUCACUUAAUUCCAUAUUUAUAGAUCCAAUUAAAAUUAAUUUCAUGUUUACAAGAGAAUCUUACAUAGGCAUAUCAACAAACAUUUGAUAUGCAUUUAAAAUGCAAAGUUUUCAUAUGAAUCACUUUAAUGCAAAUGAACUGAAACUUAUUAAAGUUUGAUAACAAGAAAUAAAGAAACAAAGCAAAACAUGACCAUCAUGAUUCAACAGAAAGAAAGAAAUUAAUUGUUAAGGUUACUACAGGGACACAUAGUCGAUCAUCCAAUAUUAUUAUUCAAUUUAUUAAUGAAGUAGACUGAUUUAAGGAGUAGAUAAAUAAGACAAGUAUCAAAUGAGGAAUAUAAAGGUUCGAUCUUAGGAAGAAGAAGAGAGAUACGUGAAGAAGAUAAAGGUGUGAUUUGAGAGGGAAGCCUUACCAGUCCGCUUGCAGUGGUAUAAUUUUAACAUUGAAGACAUUAUCCUUGAGGGUUUUGAAGUCGAGGUAGUCCUAUAUGGUGAAGUAAGGUGGGAGAGAGAUUUGAGUGACACAAAUAGCACGAAACUAGAUAGUAGAGAAGUGGCAAUCCGCCUCUUGACACCUAUUGUACUUUUCUGAGAGUUGAGAUAGACGAGAUCCAAAAUCGAUUAGGUGGUGAAAGCUUACCGACCAGUGAGAGGGAUAAACUGGGUAGUGAGAGAGACACAUGAUCGAGAGUAGAGGUGUUGAUAUCAGUGAAGGUAGAGACAGCUAUACGAGCCCUACACCUAGUUUGAGGGGGGAAAUAAAUCAGAUUCUACAAGGAUGGGAAUUUAUUUUAAU